Molecule: long non-coding RNA, 672 nt
Organism: Oreochromis aureus
Lineage: Eukaryota; Metazoa; Chordata; Actinopteri; Cichliformes; Cichlidae
Exons: 4
Source: RefSeq, a predicted model, not a curated record
GAGUGUCAGCCUAUGGUAUCUGAGGUCCAGGAGAGAUGACCUGCGCUGUUUUCCUCUGAGGAGAUAUCUGAAAAUUUCAUCGGAUCACAAGCAAAGACCUCCUGGGGACCUUCAAUGCAUCCCUUGACAAAGUUGUGCCUGGCCUGCUGAAACUGUACUGGUCUAAGAAGGGAGUUCUUGGUGAGGAGAUGGAAGACCUCCUGGAUAAACUUGAUGAACAGACAUCCAACACUGUGUCCAACGGGCACUGAGAGGCCUGCCCAUUUUCCUCAAGAGAAGAUGCAACAGAGGUUUUCCUGAAGUGCUUAGACACUGACAUUUUGGAACCAGUGUUGAACGGUGCAUCAGUUGCCAUCCUCACCAUCCUACAAGAUGACGAUGCUGAUACGUCUGUACGAGAACAUGCAGUUGUGUUGGAAGGGGACAUCGUGCUACAUAACAUUCCAGAUCUCUCUACUGCCCUGGCACACCUCUUUGGCCUUCUGUAUGCCCUCAACAUUGAUUAUCCAAAGCAGAUGAGUUUUACCUUUGAAGCAAUUCAGGCCAUCUUAUUUUGGCCUGGUCGGACAAUAUGAAGGUGAAGUGGAUAAAUCAUUAUUCGAAAUGUAAAUUUUAGUCAGAUGAAUCUGUAUUGUUGAGAAUAUAUGGUGAAAAUUUGUCUUGUAGUAUUUU